GCAGGAGGUUUGUUAGUCAGACG
RNAcentral lists this non-coding RNA (23 nucleotides) under Arabidopsis thaliana (thale cress). Lineage: Eukaryota; Viridiplantae; Streptophyta; Magnoliopsida; Brassicales; Brassicaceae. The record is from RNAcentral.